Molecule: ribosomal RNA, 440 nt
Filed under: uncultured bacterium
Lineage: Bacteria
Description: partial 16S ribosomal RNA
Rfam family: Bacterial small subunit ribosomal RNA
Source: RNAcentral
CCUACGGGCGGCAGCAGUGGGGAAUAUUGCACAAUGGGGGAAACCCUGCUGCAGCGACGCCGCUUGAGUUCCUCCUUCCUUCUUUCUUUCCCUCUCUCUCCUCCUUUCCUCACAUGACGGUACCUGAGUAAGAAGCCCCGUCUAACUACGUGCCAGCAGCCGCGGUAAUACGUAGGGUGCCAUCGUUAUCCGUAUUUACUGGGUGUAAAUGGAGCGUAGACGGCAGUGCAAGUCUGGAGUGAAAGGCGGGGGCUCAACCCCCGGACUGCUAGGGAAACGGUACGGCUGGAGUGCAGGAGAGGUAAGUGGAAUUCAUAGUGUAGCGGUGAAAUGCGUAGAUAUUAGGAGGAACACCAGUGGCGAAGGCGGCUUACUGGACUGUAACUGACGUUGAGGCUCGAAAGCGUGGGGAGCAAACAGGAGGAGAGAAAAGAGGAGUC